Molecule: ribosomal RNA, 2916 nt
Filed under: Campylobacter coli
Lineage: Bacteria; Pseudomonadati; Campylobacterota; Epsilonproteobacteria; Campylobacterales; Campylobacteraceae
Description: 23S ribosomal RNA
Rfam family: Bacterial large subunit ribosomal RNA
Source: RNAcentral
GUAAGCUACUAAGAGCGAAUGGUGGAUGCCUUGACUGGUAAAGGCGAUGAAGGACGUACUAGACUGCGAUAAGCUACGGGGAGCUGUCAAGAAGCUUUGAUCCGUAGAUUUCCGAAUGGGGCAACCCAAUGUAUAGAGAUAUACAUUACCUAUAUAGGAGCGAACGAGGGGAAUUGAAACAUCUUAGUACCCUCAGGAAAAGAAAUCAAUAGAGAUUGCGUCAGUAGCGGCGAGCGAAAGCGCAAGAGGGCAAACCCAGUGCUUGCACUGGGGGUUGUAGGACUGCAAUGUGCAAGAGGUGAGUUUAGCAGAACAUUCUGGAAAGUAUAGCCAUAGAGGGUGAUAGUCCCGUAUGCGAAAAACAAACCUUAGCUAGCAGUAUCCUGAGUAGGGCGGGACACGAGAAAUCCUGUCUGAAGCUGGGUCGACCACGAUCCAACCCUAAAUACUAAUACCAGAUCGAUAGUGCACAAGUACCGUGAGGGAAAGGUGAAAAGAACUGAGGUGAUCAGAGUGAAAUAGAACCUGAAACCAUUUGCUUACAAUCAUUCAGAGCACUAUGUAGCAAUACAGUGUGAUGGACUGCCUUUUGCAUAAUGAGCCUGCGAGUUGUGGUGUCUGGCAAGGUUAAGCAAACGCGAAGCCGUAGCGAAAGCGAGUCUGAAUAGGGCGCUUAGUCAGAUGCUGCAGACCCGAAACGAAGUGAUCUAUCCAUGAGCAAGUUGAAGCUAGUGUAAGAACUAGUGGAGGACUGAACCCAUAGGCGUUGAAAAGCCCCGGGAUGACUUGUGGAUAGGGGUGAAAGGCCAAUCAAACUUCGUGAUAGCUGGUUCUCUCCGAAAUAUAUUUAGGUAUAGCGUUGUGUCGUAAUAUAAGGGGGUAGAGCACUGAAUGGGCUAGGGCAUACACCAAUGUACCAAACCCUAUCAAACUCCGAAUACCUUAUAUGUAAUCACAGCAGUCAGGCGGCGAGUGAUAAAAUCCGUCGUCAAGAGGGAAACAACCCAGACUACCAGCUAAGGUCCCUAAAUCUUACUUAAGUGGAAAACGAUGUGAAGUUACUUAAACAACCAGGAGGUUGGCUUAGAAGCAGCCAUCCUUUAAAGAAAGCGUAAUAGCUCACUGGUCUAGUGAUUUUGCGCGGAAAAUAUAACGGGGCUAAAGUAAGUACCGAAGCUGUAGACUUGACUUUGUCAAGUGGUAGGAGAGCGUUCUAUUUGCGUCGAAGGUAUACCGGUAAGGAGUGCUGGAGCGAAUAGAAGUGAGCAUGCAGGCAUGAGUAGCGAUAAUUAAUGUGAGAAUCAUUAACGCCGUAAACCCAAGGUUUCCUACGCGAUGCUCGUCAUCGUAGGGUUAGUCGGGUCCUAAGUCGAGUCCGAAAGGGGUAGACGAUGGCAAAUUGGUUAAUAUUCCAAUACCAACAUUAGUGUGCGAUGGAAGGACGCUUAGGGCUAAGGGGGCUAGCGGAUGGAAGUGCUAGUCUAAGGUCGUAGGUGCUUAUACAGGUAAAUCCGUAUAAGAAUACACCGAGAACUGAAAGGCUUUUUGAAGUCUUCGGAUGGAUAGAAGAACCCCUGAUGCCGUCGAGCCAAGAAAAGUUUCUAAGUUUAGCUAAUGUUGCCCGUACCGUAAACCGACACAGGUGGGUGGGAUGAGUAUUCUAAGGCGCGUGGAAGAACUCUCUUUAAGGAACUCUGCAAAAUAGCACCGUAUCUUCGGUAUAAGGUGUGGUUCGCUUCGUAUUAGGAUUUACUCCGAAAGCGAAGAAACUUACAACAAAGAGUCCCUCCCGACUGUUUACCAAAAACACAGCACUCUGCUAACUCGUAAGAGGAUGUAUAGGGUGUGACGCCUGCCCGGUGCUCGAAGGUUAAUUGAUGGGGUUAGCGUAAGCGAAGCUCUUGAUCGAAGCCCGAGUAAACGGCGGCCGUAACUAUAACGGUCCUAAGGUAGCGAAAUUCCUUGUCGGUUAAAUACCGACCUGCAUGAAUGGCGUAACGAGAUGGGAGCUGUCUCAAAGAGGGAUCCAGUGAAAUUGUAGUGGAGGUGAAAAUUCCUCCUACCCGCGGCAAGACGGAAAGACCCCGUGGACCUUUACUACAGCUUGACACUGCUACUUGGAUAAGAAUGUGCAGGAUAGGUGGGAGGCUUUGAGUAUAUGACGCCAGUUGUAUAUGAGCCAUUGUUGAGAUACCACUCUUUCUUAUUUGGGUAGCUAACCAGCUUGAGUUAUCCUCAAGUGGGACAAUGUCUGGUGGGUAGUUUGACUGGGGCGGUCGCCUCCCAAAUAAUAACGGAGGCUUACAAAGGUUGGCUCAGAACGGUUGGAAAUCGUUCGUAGAGUAUAAAGGUAUAAGCCAGCUUAACUGCAAGACAUACAAGUCAAGCAGAGACGAAAGUCGGUCUUAGUGAUCCGGUGGUUCUGUGUGGAAGGGCCAUCGCUCAAAGGAUAAAAGGUACCCCGGGGAUAACAGGCUGAUCUCCCCCAAGAGCUCACAUCGACGGGGAGGUUUGGCACCUCGAUGUCGGCUCAUCGCAUCCUGGGGCUGGAGCAGGUCCCAAGGGUAUGGCUGUUCGCCAUUUAAAGCGGUACGCGAGCUGGGUUCAGAACGUCGUGAGACAGUUCGGUCCCUAUCUGCCGUGGGCGUAAGAAGAUUGAAGAGAUUUGACCCUAGUACGAGAGGACCGGGUUGAACAAACCACUGGUGUAGCUGUUGUUCUGCCAAGAGCAUCGCAGCGUAGCUAAGUUUGGAAAGGAUAAACGCUGAAAGCAUCUAAGCGUGAAGCCAACUCUAAGAUGAAUCUUCUCUAAGCUCUCUAGAAGACUACUAGUUUGAUAGGCUGGGUGUGUAAUGGAUGAAAGUCCUUUAGCUGACCAGUACUAAUAGAGCGUUUGGCUUAUCUUUAAUAAAGCAU